UACGGAGGGGGCUAGCGUUGUUCGGAAUUACUGGGCGUAAAGCGCACGUAGGCGGCUUUGUAAGUUAGAGGUGAAAGCCCGGGGCUCAACUCCGGAAUUGCCUUUAAGACUGCAUCGCUCGAAUUGUGGAGAGGUAAGUGGAAUUCCGAGUGUAGAGGUGAAAUUCGUAGAUAUCAGGAGGAAUACCGGUGGCGAAAGCGACUCUCUGGACGGCAACUGACGCUGAGGCACGAAAGCGUGGGGAGCAAACAGG
Molecule: ribosomal RNA, 253 nt
Filed under: uncultured bacterium
Lineage: Bacteria
Description: partial 16S ribosomal RNA
Rfam family: Bacterial small subunit ribosomal RNA
Source: RNAcentral